AACGAACGCUGGCGGAAUGCCUAACACAUGCAAGUCGAACGAGACCUUCGGGUCUAGUGGCGCACGGGUGCGUAACGCGUGGGAACCUGCCCUUAGGUUCGGAAUAACUCCCCGAAAGGGGUGCUAAUACCGGAUAAUGUCUUCGGACCAAAGAUUUAUCGCCUUUGGAUGGGCCCGCGUUGGAUUAGCUAGUUGGUAGGGUAAAAGCCUACCAAGGCGACGAUCCAUAGCUGGUCUGAGAGGAUGAUCAGCCACACUGGGACUGAGACACGGCCCAGACUCCUACGGGAGGCAGCAGUGGGGAAUAUUGGACAAUGGGCGAAAGCCUGAUCCAGCAAUGCCGCGUGAGUGAUGAAGGCCUUAGGGUUGUAAAGCUCUUUUACCCGGGAUGAUAAUGACAGUACCGGGAGAAUAAGCUCCGGCUAACUCCGUG
Molecule: ribosomal RNA, 433 nt
Filed under: uncultured bacterium
Lineage: Bacteria
Description: partial 16S ribosomal RNA
Rfam family: Bacterial small subunit ribosomal RNA
Source: RNAcentral